CUACGGGGCGCUCCAGUGAGGAAUUUUGCGCAAUGGGGGAAACCCUGACGCAGCAACGCCGCGUGAGUGAUGAAGGCCUUCGGGUCGUAAAGCUCUGUCAAGUGGGAAGAACCUAUCGAUAUUGAAUAUAUAUUGAUACUGACGGUACCACAAGAGGAAGCACCGGCUAACUCCGUGCCAGCAGCCGCGGUAAUACGGGGGGUGCAAGCGUUAUUCGGAAUCAUUGGGCGUAAAGGGCGCGCAGGCGGCCUUGUAAGUCAGAUGUGAAAGCCCGGGGCUCAACCCCGGAAGCGCAUUUGAAACUAUGAGGCUUGAGUAUGGGAGAGGGAAGUGGAAUUCCUGGUGUAGCGGUGAAAUGCGUAGAUAUCAGGAGGAACACCGGUGGCGAAGGCGACUUCCUGGACCAAUACUGACGCUGAGGCGCGAAGGCGUGGGGAGCAAACAGGAUUAGAUACCCUAGUAGUC
This 465-nucleotide ribosomal RNA is filed under the name uncultured bacterium. RNAcentral's name for it is "partial 16S ribosomal RNA". It matches the Rfam family "Bacterial small subunit ribosomal RNA", at positions 339 to 795 of the family's 1533-position model. The record is from RNAcentral.